GAGGAAGACACCUAGGGGGAACCUGAGUCCGGCGGAACACGAGAAAUGCCGUCGGAAUCCGGGAGGACCAUCUCCCAAGGCUAAAUACUCCCUAGUGAACGAUAGUGAACCAGUACCGUGAGGGAAAGGGGAAAAGCACCCCGGAAGGGGAGUGAAAUAGAACCGGAAACCGUGUGCCUACAACAAGUCAACGCCGGUUAAUGGGGGAUGGCGUGACUUUUGUAGAAUGAAUCGGCGAGUUACGAUUGCAUGCGAGGUUAAGUUGAAGAGACGGAGCCGCAGCGAAAGCGAGUCUGAAU
RNAcentral lists this ribosomal RNA (299 nucleotides) under Enterococcus faecium. RNAcentral describes it as "partial 23S ribosomal RNA". It matches the Rfam family "Bacterial large subunit ribosomal RNA", at positions 386 to 688 of the family's 2925-position model. Lineage: Bacteria; Bacillati; Bacillota; Bacilli; Lactobacillales; Enterococcaceae. The record is from RNAcentral.